UCUCCGUAGGUGAACCUGCGGAGGGAUCAUUACUGAGUGAGGGUUUAACCGCCCGACCUCCAACCCUUUGUGAACCAAACUUGUUGCUUCGGGGGCGACCCUGCCGACGACCUCGUCGCCGGGCGCCCCCGGAGGUCUUCUAAACACUGCAUCUUUGCGUCGGAGUUUAAACAAAUUAAACAAAACUUUCAACAACGGAUCUCUUGGUUCCAGCAUCGAUGAAGAACGCAGC
Molecule: unclassified non-coding RNA, 232 nt
Filed under: uncultured fungus
Lineage: Eukaryota; Fungi
Description: sequence contains ITS1, 5.8S rRNA gene
Rfam family: 5.8S ribosomal RNA (bases 184-232)
Source: RNAcentral